ACAAUGAAGAGUUUGAUCCUGGCUCAGGAUGAACGCUAGCUACAGGCUUAACACAUGCAAGUCGAGGGGCAGCAUGGUCUUAGCUUGCUAAGGCCGAUGGCGACCGGCGCAC
RNAcentral lists this ribosomal RNA (112 nucleotides) under Phocaeicola vulgatus. Its description in RNAcentral is "partial 16S ribosomal RNA". It matches the Rfam family "Bacterial small subunit ribosomal RNA", at positions 1 to 103 of the family's 1533-position model. Lineage: Bacteria; Pseudomonadati; Bacteroidota; Bacteroidia; Bacteroidales; Bacteroidaceae. The record is from RNAcentral.